CAAUAGCGUAUAUUAAAGUUGUUGCAGUUAAAAAGCUCGUAGUUGGAUUUCGGGGCAGCCUGGCUGGUCCGCCGCAAGGCGAGUACUGGUCAGCCGCCCUUCCUCUCGAAAGCCCCGACUGCUCUUCGUUGCAGUGGUCGGGUAGUUCGGGACGUUUACUUUGAAAAAAAUAGAGUGUUCAAGGCAGGCCUACGCCUGAAUACAUUAGCAUGGAAUAAUGGAAGAGGACCUCGGUCCUAUUUUGUUGGUUUCCAGGGCCGAAGUAAUGAUUAAGAGGGACAGUUGGGGGCAUUCGUAUUUAAUUGUCAGAGGUGAAAUUCUCGGAUUUAUGAAAGACGAACAACUGCGAAAGCAUUUGCCAAGGAUGUUUUCAUUAA
This 377-nucleotide ribosomal RNA is filed under the name uncultured eukaryote. RNAcentral's name for it is "partial 18S ribosomal RNA". It matches the Rfam family "Eukaryotic small subunit ribosomal RNA", at positions 592 to 976 of the family's 1831-position model. The record is from RNAcentral.